Molecule: long non-coding RNA, 298 nt
Organism: Cryptotermes secundus
Lineage: Eukaryota; Metazoa; Arthropoda; Insecta; Blattodea; Kalotermitidae
Exons: 3
Source: RefSeq, a predicted model, not a curated record
CAACAGCCCACACCUUAAUCUGCCUUGAAAUAACAGAGUAUAAACUAAAGAUAUUUUGUAGGUAACUCCAUAGAGGUGAGUCCUUGAGAAGCUCGGUCGAUCGACUGGCCAAAUGAUUUAUCACAGAUUCUGCAAGUUCAUAUCGGAGUUCACAACAUCCAGACUAGAACUCAGUAAUCUCCUCAACAUCCAUCAUAUAAGAUAUGAUAAUGCGAGAAAGGCGAAACAUGGGAACCCUGUGCUUCUACAAAUGAAGCAGAACUGGAAACCACUCUACCGUGAUGCUGGGUGUGAGUAG